GACGAACGCUGGCGGCGUGCUUAACACAUGCAAGUCGAACGGAAAGGCCCCUUUGGGGGUACUCGAGUGGCGAACGGGUGCGUAACACGUGAGUAACCUGCCCUUGACUUCGGGAUAACUUCAGGAAACUGGGGCUAAUACCGGAUAGGAAUCCUUGCUGCAUGGUGGGGGUUGGAAAGCUUCGGCGGUUUUGGAUGGACUCGCGGCUUAUCAGCUUGUUGGUGGGGUAGUGGCUUACCAAGGCUUUGACGGGUAGCCGGCCUGAGAGGGCGACCGGCCACAUUGGGACUGAGAUACGGCACAGACUCCUACGGGAGGCAGCAGUGGGGAAUAUUGCACAAGGGGCGGAAGCCUGAUGCAGCAACGCCGCGGGCGGGAUGACGGCCUUCGGGUUGUAAACCGCUUUCAGCAGGGGCGAAGCUUGUGGUGACGGUACCUGCAGAAGAAGCACCGGCUAACUACGUG
Molecule: ribosomal RNA, 465 nt
Filed under: uncultured bacterium
Lineage: Bacteria
Description: partial 16S ribosomal RNA
Rfam family: Bacterial small subunit ribosomal RNA
Source: RNAcentral